Molecule: ribosomal RNA, 253 nt
Filed under: uncultured bacterium
Lineage: Bacteria
Description: partial 16S ribosomal RNA
Rfam family: Bacterial small subunit ribosomal RNA
Source: RNAcentral
UACAGAGGUCUCAAGCGUUGUUCGGAUUCAUUGGGCGUAAAGGGUGCGUAGGCGGUCCUUUAAGUCUGAUGUGAAAGCCCACGGCUCAACCGUGGAGGGUCAUUGGAAACUGGGGGACUUGAGUGCAGGAGAGAAGAGUGGAAUUCCACGUGUAGCGGUGAAAUGCGUAGAGAUGUGGAGGAACACCAGUGGCGAAAGCGGCUCUCUGGGACGGUACUGACGCUGAGACGCGAAAGCGUGGGGAGCAAACAGG